Molecule: long non-coding RNA, 339 nt
Filed under: Bos taurus (domestic cattle)
Lineage: Eukaryota; Metazoa; Chordata; Mammalia; Artiodactyla; Bovidae
Description: long non-coding RNA NONBTAT019859
Source: RNAcentral
UUCUAAAUUUUAAGUGUGGCUAAACAUAAACAAAAAACCGCACAUCGAUAUCCUUGGAAGCACUGUGGGUUCACAAAGGUUAACACCACUUAUACACUGAAAAAAUAACCCAUGUGAGAUGUGUUUUUACAAACAACAACAAAAAAUGGAAUGGAGUACAAUGUCAUAAGCCAUCAAUAAGCUUACUUUCUGAAUACAACUUAAAUCUGUUUAGUUGUUUUUACUGCUAGCCAGCUUGUGAAAGAUUUAAACAAUGUACUUGCACCUGUAAGUUAAACUAGCAAAAACAGAACAGUGGGCAAUAAAAACAGAACUGUUACGAAAGUAUAAGCUAAAUGU